CCUGCUCCUAGACACAUUGCAGGUAUAGCUGCUGUGUCAUAUGUGUAUCAAUAGUUGGCCACAGAGGAGUUUAUGUCUGUGCACAGUGUUCUAACCUAUGAACAUCUGAAUUUGUAGCCUAACAUU
Molecule: small nucleolar RNA, 126 nt
Organism: Mastomys coucha (southern multimammate mouse)
Lineage: Eukaryota; Metazoa; Chordata; Mammalia; Rodentia; Muridae
Product: small nucleolar RNA SNORA17
Exons: 1
Source: RefSeq, a predicted model, not a curated record